CAGGCUUAACACAUGCAAGUCGAGGGGCAUCAGGAAGAAAGCUUGCUUUCUUUGCUGGCGACCGGCGCACGGGUGAGUAACACGUAUCCAACCCGCCCUUUACUCGGGGAUAGCCUUUCGAAAGAAAGAUUAAUACCCGAUGGCAUAAUGAUUCCGCAUGGUUUCAUUAUUAAAGGAUUCCGGUAAAGGAUGGGGAUGCGUUCCAUUAGGUUGUUGGUGAGGUAACGGCCCACCAAGCCUUCGAUGGAUAGGGGUUCUGAGAGGAAGGUCCCCCACAUUGGAACUGAGACACGGUCCAAACUCCUACGGGAGGCAGCAGUGAGGAAUAUUGGUCAAUGGGCGGUAGCCUGAACCAGCCAAGUAGCGUGAAGGAUGAAGGCUCUAUGGGUCGUAAACUUCUUUUAUAUAAGAAUAAAGUGCAGUAUGUAUACUGUUUUGUAUGUAUUAUAUGAAUAAGGAUCGGCUAACUCCGUGCCAGCAGCCGCGGUAAUACGGAGGAUCCGAGCGUUAUCCGGAUUUAUUGGGUUUAAAGGGAGCGUAGGUGGACUGGUAAGUCAGUUGUGAAAGUUUGCGGCUCAACCGUAAAAUUGCAGUUGAUACUGUCAGUCUUGAGUACAGUAGAGGUGGGCGGAAUUCGUGGUGUAGCGGUGAAAUGCUUAGAUAUCACGAAGAACUCCGAUUGCGAAGGCAGCUCACUGGACUGCAACUGACACUGAUGCUCGAAAGUGUGGGUAUCAAACAGGAUUAGAUACCCUGGUAGUCCACACAGUAAACGAUGAAUACUCGCUGUUUGCGAUAUACAGUAAGCGGCCAAGCGAAAGCAUUAAGUAUUCCACCUGGGGAGUACGCCGGCAACGGUGAAACUCAAAGGAAUUGACGGGGGCCCGCACAAGCGGAGGAACAUGUGGUUUAAUUCGAUGAUACGCGAGGAACCUUACCCGGGCUUAAAUUGCAGUGGAAUGAUGUGGAAACAUGUCAGUGAGCAAUCACCGCUGUGAAGGUGCUGCAUGGUUGUCGUCAGCUCGUGCCGUGAGGUGUCGGCUUAAGUGCCAUAACGAGCGCAACCCUUAUCUUCAGUUACUAACAGGUCAUGCUGAGGACUCUGGAGAGACUGCCGUCGUAAGAUGUGAGGAAGGUGGGGAUGACGUCAAAUCAGCACGGCCCUUACGUCCGGGGCUACACACGUGUUACAAUGGGGGGUACAGAAGGCAGCUAGCGGGUGACCGUAUGCUAAUCCCAAAAGCCUCUCUCAGUUCGGAUCGAAGUCUGCAACCCGACUUCGUGAAGCUGGAUUCGCUAGUAAUCGCGCAUCAGCCACGGCGCGGUGAAUACGUUCCCGGGCCUUGUACACACCGCCCGUCAAGCCAUGGGAGCCGGGGGUACCUGAAGUACGUAACCGCAAGGAUCGUCCUAGGGUAAAACUGGUGACUGGGGCUAAG
This 1439-nucleotide ribosomal RNA is filed under the name uncultured organism. RNAcentral's name for it is "16S ribosomal RNA". It matches the Rfam family "Bacterial small subunit ribosomal RNA". The record is from RNAcentral.